GGGAACAUACCCUUUUCUACGGAAUAGCUCUGGGAAACUGGAAUUGAUACCGUAUACGCCCUACGGGGGAAAGAUUUAUCGGGGAAGGAUUGGCCCGCGUUGGAUUAGCUAGUUGGUGGGGUAAAGGCCUACCAAGGCGACGAUCCAUAGCUGGUCUGAGAGGAUGAUCAGCCACAUUGGGACUGAGACACGGCCCAAACUCCUACGGGAGGCAGCAGUGGGGAAUAUUGGACAAUGGGCGCAAGCCUGAUCCAGCCAUGCCGCGUGAGUGAUGAAGGCCUUAGGGUUGUAAAGCUCUUUCACCGAUGAAGAUAAUGACGGUAGUCGGAGAAGAAGCCCCGGCUAACUUCGUGCCAGCAGCCGCGGUAAUACGAAGGGGGCUAGCGUUGUUCGGAAUUACUGGGCGUAAAGCGCACGUAGGCGGAUAUUUAAGUCAGGGGUGAAAUCCCAGAGCUCAACUCUGGAACUGCCUUUGAUACUGGGUAUCUUGAGUAUGGAAGAGGUAAGUGGAAUUGCGAGU
RNAcentral lists this ribosomal RNA (520 nucleotides) under uncultured bacterium. Its description in RNAcentral is "bacterial SSU rRNA". It matches the Rfam family "Bacterial small subunit ribosomal RNA", at positions 120 to 674 of the family's 1533-position model. The record is from RNAcentral.